CGUUCUUUCGGAAGUCAGUGGCAGACGGGUGAGUAACACUGGGAACGUGCCUUCGUUCGGAAUAACUCAGGGAAACUUGAGCUAAUACCGGAUACGCCCUUUUGGGGAAAGGGUUGACUGCCGAAGGAUCGGCCCGCGUCUGAUUAGCUUGUUGGUGGGGUAACGGCCUACCAAGGCGACGAUCAGUAGCUGGUCUGAGAGGAUGAUCAGCCACACUGGGACUGAGACACGGCCCAG
This 237-nucleotide ribosomal RNA is filed under the name uncultured bacterium. Its description in RNAcentral is "partial 16S ribosomal RNA". It matches the Rfam family "Bacterial small subunit ribosomal RNA", at positions 76 to 334 of the family's 1533-position model. The record is from RNAcentral.